UACGGAGGGUGCAAGCGUUAAUCGGAAUCACUGGGCGUAAAGCGCACGUAGGCGGCUUGGUAAGUCAGGGGUGAAAUCCCACAGCUCAACUGUGGAACUGCCUUUGAUACUGCCAGGCUUGAGUACCGGAGAGGGUGGCGGAAUUCCAGGUGUAGGAGUGAAAUCCGUAGAUAUCUGGAGGAACACCGGUGGCGAAGGCGGCCACCUGGACGGUAACUGACGCUGAGGUGCGAAAGCGUGGGUAGCAAACAGG
This 253-nucleotide ribosomal RNA is filed under the name Bilophila wadsworthia. RNAcentral's name for it is "partial 16S ribosomal RNA". It matches the Rfam family "Bacterial small subunit ribosomal RNA", at positions 524 to 776 of the family's 1533-position model. Lineage: Bacteria; Pseudomonadati; Thermodesulfobacteriota; Desulfovibrionia; Desulfovibrionales; Desulfovibrionaceae. The record is from RNAcentral.